Triticum urartu is the source of this 793-nucleotide long non-coding RNA. RefSeq lists it as uncharacterized. The record is from RefSeq and is a predicted model, not a curated record. Lineage: Eukaryota; Viridiplantae; Streptophyta; Magnoliopsida; Poales; Poaceae.
CUCACAUGCCCGACGCCCCACCCUCUCCACCUCCCCUUCUCCCCCUACCCCCAGUAGCACCCAGGCCCAACAGCACAUGCAGUGGCCAGAUCCCAGAUCCAUCACGCUUCAUGUGCCUCACCGGAGGCGCACACGCAGAGUGAGGUGGGCUGCCCGCAUGCAAACGCCAUGGACCUCCGUCACGGGACGCCAACGCGUCUCGUCUGCCCGGUCGCGUCACCAGACGGUUGCUUGCCUGCUCCCUACCGACGCCAUCCCAUGCCCAGGAUGCCGCGCCAACCACGCCCCGACGUCCCUCCUCCCUCACCCCUGCGUCGGCCCCGUCGUCCGUCCCCGAGCGACCAAAACUCGUAACAAGGGAAUGUCGGGGUUCGUGGUGAUGGCAGCUGACACGGAGCCGCUCGAAAUCUUCCUCCACCCCCAUCCCGUUGCUCACGGACGACAACAAGCGACCACAUUCUCUUAACAGCGGGACAUCUGAGUUCGUCGUGGUGAUGGAAGCUGACACGGAGCCGCUCAAAAUCUCCUCGCCUCCCGUCAUGUUUCUUGCGGACAGCAAGAUGACCAAGCCCAAGGAGGAAGCAGUUGCUCAUCACUGAGGACAAGUAACUCCAGCAAGUUGACGCCGUAGAUUCAUAGUGUACCUUCUAUAUGCCCAUCCAGUUCUGUGAUUUGUGUCUUGAAACCCAAAAACCCCAUGCCCAUGUGGGAGCUGAACCAUAGUUUUUUUCUUGUGGAAAAUAAUAUCCUUGGCUGAAUCGACUUGAGGCGGUUUCUUCAAAAUUCUUGGAAA